This 253-nucleotide ribosomal RNA is filed under the name uncultured bacterium. RNAcentral's name for it is "partial 16S ribosomal RNA". It matches the Rfam family "Bacterial small subunit ribosomal RNA", at positions 524 to 776 of the family's 1533-position model. The record is from RNAcentral.
UACGUAGGGUGCGAGCGUUAAUCGGAAUUACUGGGCGUAAAGCGUGCGCAGGCGGUUCGUUGUGUCGGUGGUGAAAUCCCCGGGCUUAACCUGGGAAUGGCCAUGGAAACUGGCGAACUGGAGUGCGGCAGAGGGGGGUGGAAUUCCGCGUGUAGCAGUGAAAUGCGUAGAGAUGCGGAGGAACACCGAUGGCGCAGGCAGCCCCCUGGGCUGACACUGACGCUCAGGCACGAAAGCGUGGGGAGCAAACAGG